AAUCAACGCUGGCGGCGUGCCUCAGACAUGCAAGUCGAACGAGAACCUCCCUUCGGGGAGGGGACAGUGGCGCACGGGUGAGUAACACGUGGGUAAUUUACCUUUGGGUGGGGAACAACAGCCGGAAACGGCUGCUAAUACCGCAUAAUGCAGCGGCUCGACAUCGAGACAGUUGUUAAAGCGGGGGAUCGCAAGACCUCGCGCCUGAAGAGAAGCCUGCGGCGGAUUAGCAGUUGGUAGGGUAAUGGCCUACCAAGGCGACGAUCUGUAACCGGCCUGAGAGGGCGGUCGGUCACACUGACACUGACAUACGGGUCAGACUCCUACGGGAGGCAGCAGUCGGGAAUUUUGGGCAAUGGGCGAAAGCCUGACCCAGCAACGCCGCGUGAAGGAUGAAGC
This 399-nucleotide ribosomal RNA is filed under the name uncultured bacterium. RNAcentral's name for it is "bacterial SSU rRNA". It matches the Rfam family "Bacterial small subunit ribosomal RNA", at positions 32 to 414 of the family's 1533-position model. The record is from RNAcentral.